AACGAACGCUGGCGGCAGGCCUAACACAUGCAAGUCGAGCGAGGACUUCGGUUCUAGCGGCGGACGGGUGAGUAACGCGUGGGAAUGUGCCCUUCUCUACGGAAUAGUCCUGGGAAACUGGGAGUAAUACCGUAUACGCCCUAUUGGGGAAAGAUUUAUCGGAGAAGGAUCAGCCCGCGUUGGAUUAGGUGGUUGGUGGGGUAAUGGCCUACCAAGCCGAGGAUCCAUAGCUGGUUUGAGAGGAUGAGCAGCCACACUGGGGCUGAGACACGGCCCAGACUCCUACGGGAGGCAGCAGUGGGGAAUCUUAGACAAUGGGGGCAACGCUGAUCUAGCCAUGCCGGGUGAGUGAUGAAGGCCUGAGGGUUGUAAAGCACUUUCAGCUGCGAAGAUAAUGACGGUACCAGCAGAAGAAGCCCCGGCUAACUCCGUG
RNAcentral lists this ribosomal RNA (433 nucleotides) under uncultured bacterium. Its description in RNAcentral is "partial 16S ribosomal RNA". It matches the Rfam family "Bacterial small subunit ribosomal RNA", at positions 29 to 507 of the family's 1533-position model. The record is from RNAcentral.